Molecule: ribosomal RNA, 434 nt
Filed under: uncultured Clostridium sp.
Lineage: Bacteria; Bacillati; Bacillota; Clostridia; Eubacteriales; Clostridiaceae
Description: partial 16S ribosomal RNA
Rfam family: Bacterial small subunit ribosomal RNA
Source: RNAcentral
ACGGGAGGCAGCAGUGGGGAAUGUUGCACAAUGGGGGAAACCCUGAUGCAGCGACGCCGCGUGAGUGAAGAAGUAUUUCGGUAUGUAAAGCUCUAUCAGCAGGGAAGAAAAUGACGGUACCUGACUAAGAAGCCCCGGCUAACUACGUGCCAGCAGCCGCGGUACUACGUAGGGGGCAAGCGUUAUCCGGAUUUACUGGGUGUAAAGGGAGCGUAGACGGUUCUGCAAGUCUGAUGUGAAAGGCAGGGGCUCAACUCCUGGACUGCAUUGGAAACUGUUUUACUAGAGUGCAGGAGAGGUAAGUGGAAUUCCUAGUGUAGCGGUGAAAUGCGUAGAUAUUAGGAGGAACACCAGUGGCGAAGGCGGCUUACUGGACUGUAACUGACGUUGAGGCUCGAAAGCGUGGGGAGCAAACAGGAUUAGAUACCCUGGUA